This is a long non-coding RNA of Nomascus leucogenys (northern white-cheeked gibbon), 597 nucleotides long. RefSeq lists it as uncharacterized. The transcript is spliced from 3 exons. Lineage: Eukaryota; Metazoa; Chordata; Mammalia; Primates; Hylobatidae. The record is from RefSeq and is a predicted model, not a curated record.
GGCUUCAUAAGGGGAGUAAACACACAGUACUUUUGACCACAAAAUGACUUUUUAAAAGUCAGAACUAUGAUAGCAGGAAGCCAACCGAGGUCCAGGUAAAGGCUCUGACACUUUCUCAGGGACACCCUGCUAAGGGCUCCACAGAAGUCUCCAAUCUUCCAAUCUUCAGUCUAUGAAAGCACAGAUUCCUGAAAGGAUGGCCUCAAAUGACCAGGAGUAGGAGCUCUCUAUAUCCCUGCUCCUAAAAACAAGCUAACUGGAGUCUCCAUCGCCUUCCCCCAGCAUAGACACACUACCAACUACCCAACUGAACUCCAUGACUGAUUUGCCAGCCAAUCACGCCCCUGACCCAGCCUACAUGGACAUGGGAAGGACAUCAGUGAAUCGGGAACAGAGGCAGAGGUGAGGAGACACCUGCCCUGUGCCACACAUCUAUGUAGUUCAGCAAUCUCCAGCCCCUUAGUACUCCAGGGGCUCUAAGCCACCCCUCUGUAAGUCAGGAUGGAAGUAGAUGAUACCACAUUUCUAUCUGCUGUAGACACCCUUCCCAGUGUCUCAAAAUGUUUUAGCAUCUUUCAGUAAAAAUCUUCAAGUUUG